GAUGAACGCUGGCGGCGUGCCUAACACAUGCAAGUCGAGCGAUUCUCUUCGGAGAAGAGCGGCGGACGGGUGAGUAACGCGUGGGUAACCUGCCCUGUACACACGGAUGACAUACCGAAAGGUAUGCUAAUACGAGAUAAUAUGCUUUUAUCGCAUGGUAGAAGUAUCAAAGCUUUUGCGGUACAGGAUGGACCCGCGUCUGAUUAGCUAGUUGGUAAGGUAACGGCUUACCAAGGCGACGAUCAGUAGCCGACCUGAGAGGGUGAUCGGCCACAUUGGAACUGAGACACGGUCCAAACUCCUACGGGAGGCAGCAGUGGGGAAUAUUGCACAAUGGGCGAAAGCCUGAUGCAGCAACGCCGCGUGAGCGAUGAAGGCCUUCGGGUCGUAAAGCUCUGUCCUCAAGGAAGAUAAUGACGGUACUUGAGGAGGAAGCCCCGGCUGACUACGUGCCAGCCGCCGCUGUAA
RNAcentral lists this ribosomal RNA (468 nucleotides) under uncultured bacterium. RNAcentral describes it as "partial 16S ribosomal RNA". It matches the Rfam family "Bacterial small subunit ribosomal RNA", at positions 28 to 523 of the family's 1533-position model. The record is from RNAcentral.